RNAcentral lists this ribosomal RNA (418 nucleotides) under uncultured bacterium. Its description in RNAcentral is "bacterial SSU rRNA". It matches the Rfam family "Bacterial small subunit ribosomal RNA", at positions 505 to 916 of the family's 1533-position model. The record is from RNAcentral.
GUGCCAGCCGCCGCGGUAAUACGUAGGGUCCAAGCGUUAAUCGGAAUUACUGGGCGUAAAGCGUGCGCAGGCGGUUGUGCAAGACCGAUGUGAAAUCCCCCGGGCUUAACCUGGGAAUUGCAUUGGUGACUGCACGGCUAGAGUGUGUCAGAGGGGGGUAGAAUUCCACGUGUAGCAGUGAAAUGCGUAGAGAUGUGGAGGAAUACCGAUGGCGAAGGCAGCCCCCUGGGAUAACACUGACGCUCAUGCACGAAAGCGUGGGGAGCGAAACAGGAUUACGAUACCCUGGUAGUCCACGCCCUAAACGAUGUCAACUAGUUGUUGGGGAUUCAUUUCCCUUAGUAACGUAGCUAACGCGUGAAGUUGACCGCCUGGGGAGUACGGUCGCAAGAUUAAAAACGUCAAAGGAAAUUGGCGG